Molecule: ribosomal RNA, 415 nt
Filed under: uncultured Glomeromycotina
Lineage: Eukaryota; Fungi; Glomeromycota
Description: SSU rRNA
Rfam family: Eukaryotic small subunit ribosomal RNA
Source: RNAcentral
AGCAGCCGCGGUAAUUCCAGCUCCAAUAGCGUAUAUUAAAGUUGUUGCAGUUAAAAAGCUCGUAGUUGAAUUUCGGGGUUAGUAGGUUGGUCAUGCCUCUGGUAUGUACUGGUCUCACUGAUUCCUCCUUCCUGAUGAGCCGUAAUGCCAUUAAUUUGGUGUUGCGGGGAAUUUGGACUGUUACUUUGAAAAAUUAGAGUGUUUAAAGCAAGCUAACGCUUGAAUACAUUAGCAUGGAAUAAUGAAAUAGGACGUUCGAUCCUAUUUUGUUGGUUUCUAGGAUUGACGUAAUGAUUAAUAGGGAUAGUUGGGGGCAUUAGUAUUCAAUUGUCAGAGGUGAAAUUCUUGGAUUUAUUGAAGACUAACUACUGCGAAAGCAUUUGCCAAGGAUGUUUUCAUUAAUACAAGAACGAAA